Molecule: ribosomal RNA, 460 nt
Filed under: uncultured bacterium
Lineage: Bacteria
Description: partial 16S ribosomal RNA
Rfam family: Bacterial small subunit ribosomal RNA
Source: RNAcentral
CCUACGGGAGGCAGCAGUGAGGAAUAUUGGUCAAUGGGCUUACGCCUGAACCAGCCAAGUCGCGUGAGGGAAGACUGCCCUAUGGGUUGUAAACCUCUUUUGUCAGGGAGCAACGCCGGCUACGUGUAGCCGGACUGAGAGUACCUGAAGAAAAAGCAUCGGCUAACUCCGUGCCAGCAGCCGCGGUAAUUCGGAGGAUGCGAGCGUUAUCCGGAUUUAUUGGGUUUAAAGGGUGCGUAGGCGGAAUGCCAAGUCAGCGGUAAAAUCGCGGGGCUCAACCUCGCUCCGCCGUUGAAACUGGCGUUCUUGAGUGGGCGAGAAGUAUGCGGAAUGCGUGGUGUAGCGGUGAAAUGCAUAGAUAUCACGCAGAACUCCGAUUGCGAAGGCAGCAUACCGGCGCCCAACUGACGCUGAAGCACGAAAGCGUGGGUAGCGAACAGGAUUAGAUACCCCAGUAGUC